RNAcentral lists this ribosomal RNA (1372 nucleotides) under uncultured bacterium. Its description in RNAcentral is "bacterial SSU rRNA". It matches the Rfam family "Bacterial small subunit ribosomal RNA", at positions 28 to 1381 of the family's 1533-position model. The record is from RNAcentral.
GAUGAACGCUGGCGGCGUGCCUAAUACAUGCAAGUCGAGCGAACGGACGAGAAGCUUGCUUCUCUGAUGUUAGCGGCGGACGGGUGAGUAACACGUGGAUAACCUACCUAUAAGACUGGGAUAACUUCGGGAAACCGUAGCUAAUACCGGAUAAUAUUUUGAACCGCAUGGUUCAAAAGUGAAAGACGGUCUUGCUGUCACUUAUAGAUGGAUCCGCGCUGCAUUAGCUAGUUGGUAAGGUAACGGCUUACCAAGGCAACGAUGCAUAGCCGACCUGAGAGGGUGAUUGGCCACACUGGAACUGAGACACGGUCCAGACUCCUACGGGAGGCAGCAGUAGGGAAUCUUCCGCAAUGGGCGAAAGCCUGACGGAGCAACGCCGCGUGAGUGAUGAAGGUCUUCGGAUCGUAAAACUCUGUUAUUAGGGAAGAACAUAUGUGUAAGUAACUGUGCACAUCUUGACGGUACCUAAUCAGAAAGCCACGGCUAACUACGUGCCAGCAGCCGCGGUAAUACGUAGGUGGCAAGCGUUAUCCGGAAUUAUUGGGCGUAAAGCGCGCGUAGGCGGUUUUUUAAGUCUGAUGUGAAAGCCCACGGCUCAACCGUGGAGGGUCAUUGGAAACUGGAAAACUUGAGUGCAGAAGAGGAAAGUGGAAUUCCAUGUGUAGCGGUGAAAUGCGCAGAGAUAUGGAGGAACACCAGUGGCGAAGGCGACUUUCUGGUCUGUAACUGACGCUGAUGUGCGAAAGCGUGGGGAUCAAACAGGAUUAGAUACCCUGGUAGUCCACGCCGUAAACGAUGAGUGCUAAGUGUUAGGGGGUUUCCGCCCCUUAGUGCUGCAGCUAACGCAUUAAGCACUCCGCCUGGGGAGUACGACCGCAAGGUUGAAACUCAAAGGAAUUGACGGGGACCCGCACAAGCGGUGGAGCAUGUGGUUUAAUUCGAAGCAACGCGAAGAACCUUACCAAAUCUUGACAUCCUUUGACAACUCUAGAGAUAGAGCCUUCCCCUUCGGGGGACAAAGUGACAGGUGGUGCAUGGUUGUCGUCAGCUCGUGUCGUGAGAUGUUGGGUUAAGUCCCGCAACGAGCGCAACCCUUAAGCUUAGUUGCCAUCAUUAAGUUGGGCACUCUAAGUUGACUGCCGGUGACAAACCGGAGGAAGGUGGGGAUGACGUCAAAUCAUCAUGCCCCUUAUGAUUUGGGCUACACACGUGCUACAAUGGACAAUACAAAGGGCAGCGAAACCGCGAGGUCAAGCAAAUCCCAUAAAGUUGUUCUCAGUUCGGAUUGUAGUCUGCAACUCGACUACAUGAAGCUGGAAUCGCUAGUAAUCGUAGAUCAGCAUGCUACGGUGAAUACGUUCCCGGGUCU